GAUGAAGAACGUAGCGAAAUGCGAUAAGUAAUGUGAAUUGCAGAAUUCAGUGAAUCAUCGAAUCUUUGAACGCACAUUGCGCCCGCCAGUAUUCUGGCGGGCAUGCCUGUUCGAGCGUCAUUUCAACCAUCAAGCCCCCGGCUUGUGUUGGGGACCUGCGGCUGCCGCAGGCCCUGAAAACCAGUGGCGGGCUCGCUAGUCACCCCGAGCGUAGUAAUACAUCUCGCUCAGGGCGUGCUGCGGGUUCCGGCCGUUAAAAAGCCUUAUUUACCCAAGGUUGACCUCGGAUCAGGCAGGAAGACCCGCUGAACUUAAGCAUAUCAAUAAGCGGAGGA
This 335-nucleotide unclassified non-coding RNA is filed under the name soil metagenome. RNAcentral describes it as "partial contains 5.8S ribosomal RNA, internal transcribed spacer 2, and large subunit ribosomal RNA". The stretch from base 1 to 120 matches the Rfam family "5.8S ribosomal RNA", at positions 35 to 154 of the family's 154-position model. The record is from RNAcentral.